This 404-nucleotide unclassified non-coding RNA is filed under the name soil metagenome. Its description in RNAcentral is "partial contains 5.8S ribosomal RNA, internal transcribed spacer 2, and large subunit ribosomal RNA". The stretch from base 1 to 121 matches the Rfam family "5.8S ribosomal RNA", at positions 35 to 154 of the family's 154-position model. The record is from RNAcentral.
GAUGAAGAACGUAGCGAAAUGCGAUAAGUAAUGUGAAUUGCAGAAUUCAGUGAAUCAUCGAAUCUUUGAACGCUCCUUGCGCCCUUUGGCUAUUCCGAAGGGCAUGCCUGUUUGAGUAUCAUGAACACCUCAACUCUCAUGGUUUGCCAUGAUGAGCUUGGACUUUGGGGGUCUUGCCGGCCUAUGGGUCGGCUCCUCUCAAAUUAAUCAGCUUGCCAGUGUUUGGUGGCAUCACAGGUGUGAUAACUAUCUACGCUUGUGGUUUUCCAUCAGGUAACCUUCAGUGAUGGAGGUUUGCUGGGGCUCAUAAAUGUCUCUCCUCAGUGAGGACAGCUUUUUUGAACGUUUGAUCUCAAAUCAGGUAGGACUACCCGCUGAACUUAAGCAUAUCAAUAAGCGGAGGA